GGAGAUUGGAAAAAUCAAAACUUCACAGCAGUGAUAAGAGCACUGAAAAGAAGCAGAUUUCCUGAGUCUUGAAAGGAAGGGGAAUUGGAAGAUAAUAUUUUUCUCACUGCUGUGCCUGUGUUUUCUUAGGCCCAGCUAAAUCCAAGGCGGUCUCUCCCAGGCCUAGGCUCUCCGGAGGACUGCGCGCAGGCAGCUGCCGAGGGAACAAGGGAACUUGCUGCCCAAAAUGUGUAGCUGCGAGUCCAAGAAAAGGACACAAAAUCCUCAGGAAGAAGAGUCUACAGACAAGGUUUGGUUGGCACCUGUGUUUAUGGACCUCUUGUAAUAAAUCAAGGGAACAUGGGGAUGAGGCCCAGGCUGUACUGGAGCAGGGAUUGCAAUUGCCAGACAGUCCAGAUGUUUCUUCUGGAACCAUUUCCCUUCUUCCUAAAAUAUGUCCUUUGGAACUUCCUUUAGUGAGAGACUUUGGAUAAUAAAACUCUCAUUUUUUUGUGUGCU
RNAcentral lists this long non-coding RNA (498 nucleotides) under Homo sapiens (human). Its description in RNAcentral is "HSALNT0373385". Lineage: Eukaryota; Metazoa; Chordata; Mammalia; Primates; Hominidae. The record is from RNAcentral.